CUGUGCAAAGCAAUGUCCCACAGGGACAUAAUGUACUCGGGGUUUCAAAUAACAAGAAGAAAUGUGCCUAUUGAGCAGAUGUGGGAAGCUAUAAAUAUUUCAUCUGCUGUUGUCCCUCAGGCACCCCUGGGUUGAAUGGAAUAUCAUUGUUUCUUUUGAAGUCCUAAGUCUGGCUCAGAGACAGACGCUUGACUCUUUCCUGCUGCCUAGUCUGCUGAGCGGAGCUUCAGUCUCCACCAUCAAUCAUCCAGUAAGGAAUUUGCACUUACACAAGGAACUGUUCCUCGGAGAGAUCCCCUCCUGAACCCACCUGCAGUUCACCAGCCCCAGACCAAGAGCAGCUUCUCUACGCCUCUCUGAAAUGUCCAUCCACUCCAGAGAACCAGCCCCUGACACCCACCCCCUUGCCCUGCCUGCACCGAUUGUGCAAGGAGGGAAGGUCAACAGAGCCAAGUCCAUUGAGGGAUAUCAAGAGAAGCCAGAGUAAACCCUAAGUCCUUGUUCACAAUGAAAUCUGAUGGCAAUUAAAUUCUGGCAUUUUCCCCAGCUACUGUAUGAAGAGGAUGCUGAAGGCCAUUACUAUACAGCAUACUUCAACAUAAGGACUCUUCCGUUCACCAAUUCUGGCACACUUCCAAAAUAUACCCAACAAUCCAGUUUUAUUUCUGUCCAGGAGGCUGGGUGCCAAGGAUCGAAUAUAAGCACAGGUACAUAUAAGCAGCAAGAUUACAGUCAAUAGACUCUGAAUAUUGAAAAUGGCAGACAUAGCGAGGCCGGCGAUGCCACAGCCACAUCACCCUUCCAGGCCCCAGGCAGAAGCUUAACAUCAUUCUUUUGCAUGCUGAAAUACAGUUGUCCCAGAAACAUUUCUUAAAUAGACCAUUCUUUCUCCCCAGUGAAUUGUCUUCACAUCCUUGCUGAAAAUCUAUAGACCAUAAAUGUAAGAGUCUAUUUCUGUACUCUUGAUUCUAUUUCAUCGGGCUAUAUGUCUAAUCCUUAUGCCCAUACCACACUGUCUUGAUUACUGUAGCUUUGUAGUAAGUUUUAAAAUCAGGAAAUGUGAGUCUUCAAGUUGGUUCUUCUUUUCCAAGAUUCUUUGACUAUUGUGAAUCCUCUACCAUUCCACAUAAAUUUUAGGGUCAUCCUGUCAAUUUACACAAAAAAGUUAACUGGGCUUGUGGUAGGGACUAUGUUAAAUUCAUCAAGUUGGGGAGUACUUCUAUCUUAUCAAUACUAAGCCUCCCAAUUCAUGAACAUGGGAUGUCUUUCCAUUUCUUUAGAUCUUUAACUUCUUCCAACAAUGUUUCAUAAUUUUCAAUGUACAAGCCUUGCACUUCUUUAUACAGUAGUAUUUGUACAUCUUCUUUCACAGGAUAAUUAUAAUGAGCAGCUAAACCAGAUGAUCCUGUCUCCUGGAAAAUGAGGACAAUAUUGAACUGAGCCAGGAGUAUCUUAAAAAUGCUUUUUCAUGUUUGUUACAAAUAACUUUUCAUGGCACCAUUAUAAAAGAAAAUUUCCAGGAAAUGUUUGACAUUCAUUUGCUGUAGAAUUUAGGUGUUCUGAUCCGUAGAGCAUGCUCAGCUAACUCCCAUUGCAGGUAAGGUGCUAUGGCCCAAUUUCACACAUACUUUGUAUUAAGUCCUCUGCUUCAACCUCCUUUUCUAAAAAGAUCUUCCUCAAGUUGAAAAUAUAUAACCAGGAAAACCAGCCUUAACAGACUUUCUUAAAAUAGCAUAAGAGAGGAAAUUACUGUUCAGUCCAGGACCUUCAUGUAAAGCAAACAACUGAUCUCAAUUGCCCAGCACUUUCCUGGUUUAGUACAAAAAGCCCCAAUCCCAGAAAAACAUAUCAGUUACAGGAAAACCAGGUCACCUGAGCUCCCUACCUGCAUGCCCCAUGUUCUUCACUCUCCUUUUCUAAAGAGUCACUAAUUUAAUUCAUUCAACAAAUAUAUUUUUAUUACUCACCAAGUGCAGCACACAGAUCAAUAAAGAUUCAAUUCCUGCCUUUACAGCGCUUACAGAUAAUUUUUUAAUGUUUCCUGGCUAGAGUAAAAUCAGAACUUUGUAAAUAGAAUCUCUUCACUCUUCCAUUUUAUAAACUGAGCUAUGGAAGUAGGCAAAUAUUUCUACUGCACAUUUUGUAAAAUGUAUUUAUAGAUAACGUUAUUUCAUCCUCGGCAUGAUAUCUAAAUCCAGAGCAGUUCCAUCUAAAAUAAUAUUCCCUCUGGGCUCCCACUGACCAAAUUCAUACCGAUUCAACAUCAAGGAAAAUGACUUUAAAUUAUUAUAACCUAUUAAAUAAAAAAUAUCCAUGAGUUCAUAGUGAUACAUAAAAUACCAGCCAAUAAAUGUAGAAGACAUGAAAGAAUUAGAAAAUCAUGAUUUUUCAAUAUCCAGUAAAUGACCACUAAAAAUGUUGCAUAUUGGAGAACAGGGUAUCCCUACAGUGCCGAAGAAUCAUCUCACAAAUUACUGAUUAAUUACAAGUGCCAAAGUGUACAUUUACAAUGUGGAGAUCUGAUAGUCACUAUCUGAACUCAGUCUCAGGCUUAACAUUAUCAAUACAGGGGCAACCUGACAUUAUAUGUCUCCUGAUAAGACAUGAAGUCACAAAAUCAUGUUUGUGGCAAAUAAAGAAUUAUUGACAAAUCAGCCUAAUCUUAAUCUAAUCUAGUCUUUAGACUGAAGGUUGGCAAACUACAACAUGCAGACCAAAUUCACCCUGCUGCUUGUUUUUACAAAUAUGGUUUUAUUGGAACAUGGCUACACUUAUUCACUGAUGUAUUAUUGACAGCUGCUUUCAACCUACAAUGUCAGAGUUGAGUUGUUGUAACAGAGACUAUAAGGCCACAAAACCAAAAAAAAAAAAUUACUAUCUGACCCUUUAUAGAAAAAGUUUGGUGGCCCCGUUCUUCUAGAUCUAACCUUCAAUCUACAUGAAAUACGAGGGACAGAAGAAGUUAAGUGACAUGAUGAGGAAACAAACUGGCAAAUCCAGAACAUGAGACAUUCAACAAGAAAAUUGACCUAGACUCUUCUAAAGUCAUUAUCAUGAAAAAAGUGGCCAGUAGCUACUCUAGAUUAAGACACAAAACCAGCAAAACAAUCAAAUUCAUUAUCAGUUUUGGUGGAAACUCUAGUUCAAAUAUAUGGUAUAAAAGAUAUUUUGGAGUCAAGCGGGAUAAUUUGACUAUGCAUUGCAUAUUAAAAGUUAUUGUGAAAUUAUAUAUUCCUUUGGGUGUAAUAAUAGUAUCAUGGUUAUAUAAAGAACAUUCUUAUUCUUAGAAUUUGCUGAAGAAUUAUUUAAGACAGAAGUGCUGGCCGGGCACGGUGGCUCACACCUGUAAUCCCAGCACUUGGGGAGGCCGAGGUGGGUGGAUCACCUGAGGUCAGGAGUUUGACACCAGCCUGACCAACAUGGAGAAACCCUGUCUCUACUAAAAAUACAAAAUUAGCCAGGUGUGGUGGCACACGCCUGUAAUCCCAGCUACUCAGGAGGCUGAGGCAGGAGAAUCGCUUGAACCCGGGAGGCGGAGGUUGCAGUGAGCUGAGAUCGCGCCAUUGCACUCCAGCCCGGGCAACAAGAGCGAAACUCUGCUGCAAAAAAAAAAAAAAAAAAAAGAUGGAAGUGCUAUGAUGUCUGCCACUGACUACCAAAUGUUUUGUAUGUGUAAAUGUGUGUGUAUAGAUUGAGAGAGAUGUUUUCUAGGGUGCCACUAUAAUAAUAUUGUUCCAUCUCUAUGGAUGAUAUAUGAGUGUUUAUUGUAUCAAUCUUCUGAAUUUUUUCUAUGUUUUAAAAUUAUAAAUAAAAGUGUCAG
Molecule: small RNA, 3820 nt
Filed under: Pan troglodytes (chimpanzee)
Lineage: Eukaryota; Metazoa; Chordata; Mammalia; Primates; Hominidae
Description: processed transcript
Source: RNAcentral